GGAGGGUAAGCUUAGUGGUAGAGUGUGUGCUUAGCAUGCAUGAGGUCCUGGGUUCAAUCCCCAGUAUCUCCA
RNAcentral lists this transfer RNA (72 nucleotides) under Camelus ferus (Wild Bactrian camel). It matches the Rfam family "tRNA". Rfam says of the family: Transfer RNA (tRNA) molecules are approximately 80 nucleotides in length. Their secondary structure includes four short double-helical elements and three loops (D, anti-codon, and T loops). The record is from Rfam by way of RNAcentral. Lineage: Eukaryota; Metazoa; Chordata; Mammalia; Artiodactyla; Camelidae.